Molecule: non-coding RNA, 215 nt
Organism: Pelobates cultripes (western spadefoot toad)
Lineage: Eukaryota; Metazoa; Chordata; Amphibia; Anura; Pelobatidae
Source: the annotation of a GenBank genome assembly
CUAUCACGAACAAAGAACAUAUGAAAAUCCAGAGAGACAACACUCCAAAUAUCAGUCCCAUCAAUACCAGAGUACAAGCAAACCAUCACAUCAAUCACAAAAUAUGUACACUUAUAGGGCACCCAAUAACCACUUUCGUGGUCCACCACAACGAGCCAAUCACUAUAACACUCACCAAUAUCAUCCUUUUCAACAACGCAACCGAAACAAUCCCC